Molecule: long non-coding RNA, 807 nt
Filed under: Pan troglodytes (chimpanzee)
Lineage: Eukaryota; Metazoa; Chordata; Mammalia; Primates; Hominidae
Description: long non-coding RNA NONPTRT012915
Source: RNAcentral
CCCCGUUCUGCAUGUAAGCCAGGUGUGAAACUCUCACACACACACUCAACUUGCACACUCACUCUCUCUGGGGCAGGGGUCCUUGGAGUGGGCUGACUCUUUGUGCUUGCCUAAUAUCCUGUCACCAGGGAACUGAGGAGCAAAACAUCACAGACAGGAAUUCUCCCUAAAUGGACAUAUCACGCCGAUACUUGCCUAUGGGUGUCUUGUUAGAACCACACAAGUGGAGCGUGAAAGCUCCCAUGGAAAGCUAAGCAGAAAUGAGGGGAACAAACGAGACGAGCAAGACGCCAGAGCAGGCCAGCCUAACACGAGAACACACACAGACCACAAUCCCGAACACGCAGGGCCAGACAGGCCUAACACGAGAACACACACAGACCACAAUCCCGAACACGCAGGGCCAGACAGGCCUAACACGAGAACACACACAGACCACAAUCCCGAACACGCAGAGCCAGACAGGCCUAACACGAGAACACACACAGACCACAAUCCCGAACACGCAGGGCCAGGCCAGCCUAACACGAGAACACACACAGACCACAAUCCCGAACACGCAGGGGACAGCAUCGGUGUCACCUGCAGGACACAACAGAGUACAGAAACAAACCCUGAGUGUCUAAGUCACGGUCAGGGCAGUGAGUGGGGUGCACGGGGAAGAUGGCCUGUGAAAAACUAUCUAGUCGGAUCUCUUCCUUCCAGCACACACCGAAACAAAUCCCAAGGAAUCAAAGAUUUAAGUGUAAAUUAGAGAAAUACCAGAAGAAAAUGUGGGAUGAUCUUUUAAAACACUGGAGUGAGGCA